UGUAGCUCAGGGGUGGAGCACAUGCCUAAGCCUGCAUGAGGUCCUGGGUUCGAGUCCCAGUA
Molecule: transfer RNA, 62 nt
Filed under: Camelus ferus (Wild Bactrian camel)
Lineage: Eukaryota; Metazoa; Chordata; Mammalia; Artiodactyla; Camelidae
Rfam family: tRNA
About the family: Transfer RNA (tRNA) molecules are approximately 80 nucleotides in length. Their secondary structure includes four short double-helical elements and three loops (D, anti-codon, and T loops). Further hydrogen bonds mediate the characteristic L-shaped molecular structure. tRNAs have two regions of fundamental functional importance: the anti-codon, which is responsible for specific mRNA codon recognition, and the 3' end, to which the tRNAs corresponding amino acid is attached (by aminoacyl-tRNA synthetases). tRNAs cope with the degeneracy of the genetic code in two manners: having more than one tRNA (with a specific anti-codon) for a particular amino acid; and 'wobble' base-pairing, i.e. permitting non-standard base-pairing at the 3rd anti-codon position.
Source: Rfam by way of RNAcentral